This is a long non-coding RNA of Pseudophryne corroboree (corroboree frog), 1618 nucleotides long. RefSeq lists it as uncharacterized. The transcript is spliced from 3 exons. Lineage: Eukaryota; Metazoa; Chordata; Amphibia; Anura; Myobatrachidae. The record is from RefSeq and is a predicted model, not a curated record.
GUCACGGUGAUGUCCAAAGCUUUUUUUGGAGGGAACUCCAGCGUGGUGUGUGCAUAGAUAGACAGUAAUGGCCGCAGGCCCUGAGAGCACAGGGAGUUGUAUCUGGUGACCACUGGACUUGUAGAUGCUGGCACGGAAGCCUAGGGCAGAAUGAAGAGACUUGCUGAAUUCAGUCCUCAUGGUACUAGUGAGCUGUUUAUCCCAGCCAGCAGAAAACACUCAGGAUAAAGGACAGGUGGCAGAGACGUUUCUAUGGUGAUGGCUUUUUUCACUCAUGCGUCUGACGUGGCUCCGUCUCUAGUGCUUCACAAUGACGUCAUGCUCUCUGCGCCUCCAGCUGGGUGCACGGUCCCGCUGCUGCUUGGUGUCUCACAUGGUGUUCUCUUCUUUAUAAGGUGACGGUUCAUUUUAAGGCCAAGAUCUGUAUUUCGAGAAGUUACAUUUGUCAGAUAACAUCAAAACAGUGAUCCAAAUAGAAACCUCUACGUUUGGGCUUCAGAUUCUUUUAGGAACAUAAAGCGACUGUUAAAGUGAAGACAUUUUUUUUUGUUUUAAAGAUGUUUUCAUUAAAGUCCCAGAAGUUUACACCUGUAAGGUGACUGUUUUAGAUUUUACACUGUAUUGUUUCACAUACAGUAUGUUUCAGCAACUAAGAUUAACAUUUGAAUAAAAAGGAAAAGUGACUCUCAAUCUUCAAACGCUGAUGCCUGACACCUAAGAGCUAGGUGUAAAAAAAAACUCCAAAGGGGGGUUGUAAUAGAACUGCUGGGUGUUAAAAAAAUAAUUACACCUGCUAUCAGACUUGUGGAGAAAGAUAUAUUUUACACAAAAAUGAUUAAGAAAUAUCCAACAUAAUAAAAUAAAAAUUGAAUUUUUGAAUGGAAAGAGAAGGGAAAAUGAGCAUACCGGGCAGGGUAGAUGUAGGAUCUACUGACUAGUAGGUUCAUUUUUCCUUUCUGUCCAUCUAUAAAAUCAAGUCUUAAUGUCAUUUUUCUAUAAGAAAUGAUAAAUUAAGUCAUAUUGUCUGAAAUUUGGGUGUAAAAAUAGCUAUUUACAGAAGUCUGAUAGCAGGUGUACAAUUUUUUUUUUUGUACACACCCCACAGUUUUAUUACACCUAAUUUAGAAAUGUUAUUUACACCUAGCUCAAAGGUGUCAGACAUCAGCGCUUAAAGGUUAAGAGUUACCACUCAAUUUUUUUACGCUGUUAAAUCUUGGAGUUCAUUUAGGAAAACUCUAGUAUUCUGCCAGGCCUGCUGCAGAUCCACACUACUGCACUGUCACUCACACCAUUUUUCUUUUAUUCAAAAUGAACACUUUACAGUUGUUCUAGGCACAGAAUUUUCCUGCCUUUUGUGUGUGAGGAAUUGCUUGGAGAUAACGUAACAAACCAAUUUGCUCUGUUUUGACAUUGUCAAAUGGCAGGCCGUGACAUUGCAACUAAGAACUGAUGGGUUAUUUGUACACUCUCCUAGGCUUGAUAGAACUGGCCACUGAAAUUGUUUGCAGUUAAUAAUAAUUUUCCAACAUGUGGAAUUUGGGUUUGUGAAGUGAGUUAUUUAGCUUAUAGUUUAUUCUGUAAUGCUAUUUUGGCAUAAAAAAUGUUUUCAAAUUCCCAA